This 716-nucleotide ribosomal RNA is filed under the name bacterium ocme08sprnp676. Its description in RNAcentral is "bacterial SSU rRNA". It matches the Rfam family "Bacterial small subunit ribosomal RNA", at positions 48 to 754 of the family's 1533-position model. The record is from RNAcentral.
GCUACACAUGCAGUCGAGCGGUAACAGGAAUUAGCUUGCUAAUUYGCUGACGAGCGGCGGACGGGUGAGUAAUGCCUAGGGAUCUGCCCAGUCGAGGGGGAUAACAGUUGGAAACGACUGCUAAUACCGCAUACGCCCUACGGGGGAAAGGAGGGGACCUUCGGGCCUUUCGCGAUUGGAUGAACCUAGGUGGGAUUAGCUAGUUGGUGAGGUAAUGGCUCACCAAGGCGACGAUCCCUAGCUGUUCUGAGAGGAUGAUCAGCCACACUGGGACUGAGACACGGCCCAGACUCCUACGGGAGGCAGCAGUGGGGAAUAUUGCACAAUGGGCGAAAGCCUGAUGCAGCCAUGCCGCGUGUGUGAAGAAGGCCUUCGGGUUGUAAAGCACUUUCAGUAGGGAGGAAAGGUUAACGGUUAAUAACCGUUAGCUGUGACGUUACCUACAGAAGAAGGACCGGCUAACUUCGUGCCAGCAGCCGCGGUAAUACGAGGGGUCCAAGCGUUAAUCGGAAUUACUGGGCGUAAAGCGUACGCAGGCGGUUCAUUAAGCCAGAUGUGAAAUCCCCGGGCUCAACCUGGGAAUUGCAUUUGGAACUGGUGAACUAGAGUCUUGUAGAGGGGGGUAGAAUUUCAGGUGUAGCGGUGAAAUGCGUAGAGAUCUGAAGGAAUACCGGUGGCGAAGGCGGCCCCCUGGACAAAGACUGACGCUCAUGUAC